This 468-nucleotide ribosomal RNA is filed under the name uncultured bacterium. RNAcentral's name for it is "partial 16S ribosomal RNA". It matches the Rfam family "Bacterial small subunit ribosomal RNA", at positions 28 to 507 of the family's 1533-position model. The record is from RNAcentral.
GACGAACGCUGGCGGCGUGCUUAACACAUGCAAGUCGAACGGAAAGGCCCUGCUUUUGUGGGGUGCUCGAGUGGCGAACGGGUGAGUAACACGUGAGUAUCCUGCCCUUGACUUUGUGAUAACUUCAGGAAACUGGGGCUAAUACCGGAUAGGAGCUCCUGCUGCAUGGUGGGGGUUGGAAAGUUUCGUCGGUUGGGGAUGGACUUGCGGCUUAUCAGCUUGUUGGUGGGGUAGUGGCUUACCAAGGCUUUGACGGGUAGCCGGCCUGAGUGGGUGACCGGCCACAUUGGGACUGAGAGACGGCCCAGACUCCUACGUUAGGCAGCAGUGGGGAAUAUUGCACAAUGGGCCGAAGCCUGAUGCAGAAACGCCGCGUGCGGGAUGACGGCCUUCGGGUGGUAAACCGCUUUCGCCUGUGACGAAGCUUGAGUGACGGUAAUGGGUAAAGAAGCACCGGCUAACUACGUG